Long non-coding RNA from Scatophagus argus, 506 nucleotides. RefSeq lists it as uncharacterized. The record is from RefSeq and is a predicted model, not a curated record. NCBI's taxonomy places the organism in Eukaryota, Metazoa, Chordata, Actinopteri, Scatophagidae. The transcript has 4 exons.
AAAUAACACUGCAGGAGCAUCUGAACUGCCUGUCCCAGUGUAUCCUACUUUACAGUCAGAGAUCACCAGAGAACAAAGUUGUCCAGACUGAAUGUCAAGACACAAGGUGAAGGAAAGAGUGAGGAGUGAGAGACGGAUAGGAGCAGGGGAGAGGUGUUGUCCAGACCAGAAGGGGCCUCUGAAAGUGUUGCGUAGAAACAGGCUCCUCACCUUGAGGAUCAGCACCACGUUCUACUUAUCUCAGCGCCUGAAAUUCUCAUAACGGGCCGUUUGAAGACACAGCUGGGGAGAGAAGAAAAGAAAAGUGAAGUUAGUCACUCUCCCUCAUUCCCUUGCUGGGCUGCCUCUCAUGAUGGGGGUCUCCUGGGUGGUUCUGAAGCCCACAGCCUUCUGUUAGGCCAUCCGCCAGCGCUGAUCACUCACACACCAUGACACCGGAUGGGUGAUCUUUAAGUGAGUGUGUGUCUGCUGGGGUGUGUGUGCACGUGAGCAUGCACAGAUGCCAG